This 402-nucleotide ribosomal RNA is filed under the name bacterium. RNAcentral's name for it is "partial 16S ribosomal RNA". It matches the Rfam family "Bacterial small subunit ribosomal RNA", at positions 355 to 776 of the family's 1533-position model. The record is from RNAcentral.
UGGGGAAUUUUGCACAAUGGGGGAAACCCUGAUGCAGCGACGCCGCGUGAUUUAGAAGGCCUUCGGGUUGUAAAAAUCUUUUUUACGGGAUGAAAAUGACAGUACCGUAAGAACAAGGUCCGGCUAAAUACGUGCCAGCAGCCGCGGUAAUACGUAUGGACCGAGCGUUGUCCGGAAUCAUUGGGCGUAAAGGGUACGUAGGCGGCCUAGUAAGUUAGAAGUGAAAUAAUAUAGCUCAACUAUAUAAAGCUUUUAAAACUGCUAGGCUUGAGAGAUGGAAGGGAAAGUGGAAUUCCUAGUGUAGCGGUGAAAUGCGCAGAUAUUAGGAAGAAUACCGGUGGCGAAGGCGACUUUCUGGUCAUCAUCUGACGCUGAGGUACGAAAGCGUGGGUAGCAAACAGG